This 556-nucleotide long non-coding RNA is filed under the name Androctonus crassicauda. Lineage: Eukaryota; Metazoa; Arthropoda; Arachnida; Scorpiones; Buthidae. The record is from RNAcentral.
AAAAAGCCUAGGGCAGGCCGGGGCUUUUACUUUAGAAUGGUUCCACUCUUGCGGAAACAAGGGUGCACUGUAAUUUUGUCCAGGGCAUGUUUAAGUUGCAUAGUUGGGUCUUUAGGGAGCACUUUUGGUUGUGCUUCAGAUAGGUACUCAUUGAUAUACUGUUCAUACAUCUCUUCAGGUAGCAGGAUGAUCUUUUUGGUUUUAUCAUCUCUUGUUAUGAUCAAGUUGUUCUGCUUAAGCCAGGCAUCUGUCUUAUGCUUUAGCACUGCUAGUGUGGGAUCGUAAAGUGUCCUGCGUGGGGCUGCUCUAUUAACAUCUCAAACAUAUUUCCACCUAGACUUCUGUCUGUCUAAUUCAGAGUCAAAAAGUAUUAAGAAUCAAAUCUUCGAUUACUGGGAUAUCGUUAAUAAACUGUAGAAUGGUAGACGGCACUCGAUGCGGUUGUGGGAUGCAGGAGUGAUUUUGGUAGUACGGGCGCUUUCGGCGGGGCGGUCUCGUUGCCGUCUUCGGGUUUCGAGCGGAACAGUUGGUGGAUUCUGGAACGGUUGUGUUUAUG